RNAcentral lists this ribosomal RNA (1343 nucleotides) under uncultured bacterium. RNAcentral describes it as "16S ribosomal RNA". It matches the Rfam family "Bacterial small subunit ribosomal RNA", at positions 28 to 1378 of the family's 1533-position model. The record is from RNAcentral.
GACGAACGCUGGCGGCGUGCUUAACACAUGCAAGUCGAACGGAAAGGCCCUGCUUUUGUGGGGUGCUCGAGUGGCGAACGGGUGAGUAACACGUGAGUAACCUGCCCUUGACUUUGGGAUAACUUCAGGAAACUGGGGCUAAUACCGGAUAGGAGCUCCUGCUGCAUGGUGGGGGUUGGAAAGUUUCGGCGGUUGGGGAUGGACUCGCGGCUUAUCAGCUUGUUGGUGGGGUAGUGGCUUACCAAGGCUUUGACGGGUAGCCGGCCUGAGAGGGUGACCGGCCACAUUGGGACUGAGAUACGGCCCAGACUCCUACGGGAGGCAGCAGUGGGGAAUAUUGCACAAUGGGCGGAAGCCUGAUGCAGCAACGCCGCGUGCGGGAUGACGGCCUUCGGGUUGUAAACCGCUUUCGCCUGUGACGAAGCGUGAGUGACGGUAAUGGGUAAAGAAGCACCGGCUAACUACGUGCCAGCAGCCGCGGUGAUACGUAGGGUGCGAGCGUUGUCCGGAUUUAUUGGGCGUAAAGGGCUCGUAGGUGGUUGAUCGCGUCGGAAGUGUAAUCUUGGGGCUUAACCCUGAGCGUGCCUUCGAUACGGGUUGACUUGAGGAAGGUAGGGGAGAAUGGAAUUCCUGGUGGAGCGGAGGAAUGCGCAGAUAUCAGGAGGAACACCAGUGGCGAAGGCGGUUCUCUGGGCCUUUCCUGACGCUGAGGAGCGAAAGCGUGGGGAGCGAACAGGCUUAGAUACCCUGGUAGUCCACGCUGUAAACGGUGGGUACUAGGUGUGGGGUCCAUUCCACGGGUUCCGUGCCGUAGCUAACGCUUUAAGUACCCCGCCUGGGGAGUACGGCCGCAAGGCUAAAACUCAAAGGAAUUGACGGGGCCCCGCACAAGCGGCGGAGCAUGCGGAUUAAUUCGAUGCAACGCGUAGAACCUUACCUGGGUUUGACAUGGAUCGGGAGUGCUCAGAGAUGGGUGUGCCUCUUUUGGGGUCGGUUCACAGGUGGUGCAUGCCUGUCGUCAGCUCGUGUCGUGAGAUGUUGGGUUAAGUCCCGCAACGAGCGCAACCCUUGUUCACUGUUGCCAGCACGUUAUGGUGGGGACUCAGUGGAGACCGCCGGGGUCAACUCGGAGGAAGGUGGGGAUGACGUCAAGUCCUCAUGCCCCUUAUGUCCAGGGCUUCACGCAUGCUACAAUGGCUGGUACAGAGAGUGGCGAGCCUGUGAGGGUGAGCGAAUCUCGGAAAGCCGGUCUCAGUUCGGAUUGGGGUCUGCAACUCGACCUCAUGAAGUCGGAGUCGCUAGUAAUCGCAGAUCAGCAACGCUGCGGUGAAUACGUUCCCGGG